UAGGGAAUCUUCGGCAAUGGACGGAAGUCUGACCGAGCAACGCCGCGUGAGUGAAGAAGGUUUUAGGAUCGUAAAGCUCUGUUGUUAGAGAAGAACGUUGGUAGGAGUGGAAAAUCUACCAAGUGACGGUAACUAACCAGAAAGGGACGGCUAACUACGUGCCAGCAGCCGCGGUAAUACGUAGGUCCCGAGCGUUGUCCGGAUUUAUUGGGCGUAAAGCGAGCGCAGGCGGUUCUUUAAGUCUGAAGUUAAAGGCAGUGGCUUAACCAUUGUACGCUUUGGAAACUGGAGGACUUGAGUGCAGAAGGGGAGAGUGGAAUUCCAUGUGUAGCGGUGAAAUGCGUAGAUAUAUGGAGGAACGCCGGUGGCGAAAGCGGCUCUCUGGUCUGUAACUGACGCUGAGGCUCGAAAGCGUGGGGAGCAAACAGG
This 429-nucleotide ribosomal RNA is filed under the name Bacillota bacterium. Its description in RNAcentral is "Firmicutes bacterium partial 16S ribosomal RNA". It matches the Rfam family "Bacterial small subunit ribosomal RNA", at positions 355 to 776 of the family's 1533-position model. The record is from RNAcentral. Lineage: Bacteria; Bacillati; Bacillota.